RNAcentral lists this ribosomal RNA (253 nucleotides) under uncultured bacterium. RNAcentral describes it as "partial 16S ribosomal RNA". It matches the Rfam family "Bacterial small subunit ribosomal RNA", at positions 524 to 776 of the family's 1533-position model. The record is from RNAcentral.
UACGGAGGGUGCAAGCGUUAUCCGGAUUUACUGGGUUUAAAGGGUGUGUAGGCGGGCUAUUAAGUCAGAGGUGAAAUCUCCGGGCUCAACCUGGAAACUGCCAUUGAUACUAUUAGUGUUGAAUUCUGUUGAGGUUGGCGGAAUAUAUCAUGUAGCGGUGAAAUGCAUAGACAUGAUAUAGAACAGCGAUUGCGAAGGCAGCUAACUAAACAGACAUUGACGCUGAGGCGCUAAAGCGUGGGGAUCAAACAGG